This 865-nucleotide long non-coding RNA is filed under the name Homo sapiens (human). Its description in RNAcentral is "HSALNT0291031". The stretch from base 518 to 629 matches the Rfam family "Small nucleolar RNA SNORA44". The record is from RNAcentral. Lineage: Eukaryota; Metazoa; Chordata; Mammalia; Primates; Hominidae.
CCGGUGUCGACUUACUAGCUGCAAGCCUCUGCCUGCCUUCCUGCGCGCCGUUCCCCGCUAGUCGCUGCUGCUGGCGCGCACUCGCCGGGUUUUUCCUCCCACGGCCUCGAGAUGGUGGUGAAUGUGGCACGGAGGAGCCGGGCCUUCCAACCCGGUGGGCCCGAGCUCCGAAAGGCCCCCUCGGCAGUGAGAGGGGCGGGAGCCCGCGGGGGCCGCGCCCUUCUCUCGCUUCGGACUGCGCAACGCUGCGCUCUGGGCUGACAGGCGGAUAAAACGGUCCCAUCAAGACUGAGAAAAAGCACACCAGCUAUUGGCACAGCGUGGGCAGUGGGGCCUACAGGAUGACUGACUUAGUCUACAGAGAUCCCGGCGUACUUAAGCAGAUGAAGACUCUUAAGAUGACAGAAGGUGAUUUUUCUGGUGAUCGAGGACUUCCGGGGUAAUGACAGUGAUGAAAUGCAGGGGACCUGGUAGGUUUCUUUUGGAGACUAACUGGGGGCUGCCUGGUGGGACAGAACAGCAUGUUUCCAAGGGCUGUGGCUGGUCAUAGCCAUGGGAUCUCCAACUGCAUGCAAGAGCAACCUGGAAAGACUUUGACAGCGCAGGUUGCCCCCAAGUUUCCUGGCAGUGUGUGAUACUGAGGAGGUGAGCUUGUUUCUGGAGCUGUGCUUUAAGAUUCAUGUUACAUGUAAAGCUGUCCUCAUUUGUGACUAUGGACCUAUGGAGUUGGGACAAUCUCUAUGGGAAGCAGAAGGCAAGGACCCCGGUCAUUUUAGGUAGAAACAACAGCAUGCUAAUGCAAAAAAUUAUGCAGUGUGCUACUGAACUUCAGAGGUGAUCAAUAAAAGAAGAAUAAAAAGACUAA